UCAGUCGGCCGGACGGCCGCUCUCGCAUGUGCCGAAAGGCCGCGAGGGAGGAAAGUCCGGGCUCCAUCGACAAGCGGUGCCGGAUAACGUCCGGCGAGGCUGUUGCGGCGCGAGCCGGAACAAUCUCAGGGAAAGUGCCACAGAGAACGAACCGCCUCGCCACGUGGUCUCCAUUUGGUGCGGCAAGGGUGAAAAGGUGCGGUAAGAGCGCACCGCGUGGUCAGCAAUGACGACGGCAUGGCAAACCCCACCGGGAGCAAGACCGAAUAGGAACGGCGCAGCAGGAGGUUCGCGAAAGCGAACGCCUGUGAGGCAUGUCGGGCCUUGCCGUUCGGGUAGGUUGCUUGAGACGGCGCGCAAGCGUUGUCCCAGAGGAAUGGCCGUCACGUACCGCCCGCGCAAGCGGCGGUGCCCUACAGAACCCGGCUUACAGGCUGGCUGAUGCU
Molecule: RNase P RNA, 446 nt
Filed under: Bradyrhizobium sp. LHD-71
Lineage: Bacteria; Pseudomonadati; Pseudomonadota; Alphaproteobacteria; Hyphomicrobiales; Nitrobacteraceae
Description: RNase P RNA component class A
Rfam family: Bacterial RNase P class A
About the family: Ribonuclease P (RNase P) is a ubiquitous endoribonuclease, found in archaea, bacteria and eukarya as well as chloroplasts and mitochondria.
Source: RNAcentral